RNAcentral lists this transfer RNA (77 nucleotides) under Enterobacter sp. Its description in RNAcentral is "tRNA-Pro". It matches the Rfam family "tRNA". From Rfam's summary of the family: Transfer RNA (tRNA) molecules are approximately 80 nucleotides in length. The record is from RNAcentral. Lineage: Bacteria; Pseudomonadati; Pseudomonadota; Gammaproteobacteria; Enterobacterales; Enterobacteriaceae.
CGGCGAGUAGCGCAGCUUGGUAGCGCAACUGGUAUGGGACCAGUGGGUCGGAGGUUCGAAUCCUCUCUCGCCGACCA